Oreochromis aureus is the source of this 4487-nucleotide RNA transcript. It is a transcript of the gene named aurora kinase B, with no coding region annotated. The transcript has 4 exons. NCBI's taxonomy places the organism in Eukaryota, Metazoa, Chordata, Actinopteri, Cichliformes, Cichlidae. The record is from RefSeq and is a predicted model, not a curated record.
CGUGUGUGAGGUUUGAGAGUUUUGUUUACAAAAUGGAUGAAUUCUGGGGCUGCAAUCUGGACUACUUUCCCGAAAACAUUUUAAUCGAUGUGUUGUCUUACCUGAACGUACGAGAGGUCGUCAGAGCCGGGAGAGUAUGUAAGAGGUGGAAACGCCUUGUUAAAGACCAAAGACUGUGGAGAAAUGUCGACCUGACUUCAUGGAAAGGGGUGACAUCCCGCAUCCUUUGGGUCCUGCUGCGUCAGUACCUGGGUUGCGGACUAAGGUGCCUUCGCUUGCGUGGUUUGCUGCUGUCCGCACGUGGCGGAACCUUUCUCUCUGAGUCUUGGCUUAAAGCUUUGUCCACAAAAUGCCCUCGACUGAGUAAACUCUAUCUUCUGCAUGCAGACCUGAGAAGCCUGCCCAGUUGCCAGAUCCUACCUCCAUCUUUGCAGGUGCUGGAGCUGCGGGGUUGCGAGCUGCCUCGUGGCUUCUUCAAUCAGACCCUGCCUACUUCAUCAGCUAGUCUCCAAGAAAGAGCAGAACCCACAUCCAGUGUUGGUUCUCAACUGAAAGGAAGGAACCAGAAAGGAAAAGGGGCUGGCUCUCCUUCAGGGAUUGGUAUUGAGAGGUUAGUCCUUAACAAUGUGCCCUCUUUUACAGACCAGCACCUGCAGGGUCUGACAUCAUGGGAGAGGCUCUGUCGUCUAGAGCUACGUGACACCUUUCGCGUAACAGCUAAUGGGCUUAGAAGCUGUGCUGCCAAAGAUGGUGUCUGUGGUGUAGAAGGGCUUUCCAGGCUCAAGUUUCUGGAAAUAGGCAUUACAGGGCGGCAGGGCUACCAGUUACAUAUGGCCUCCCUUGGCUUGGGGGCUGGCUGGCUUGGACUGGAGGAGCUAAGUCUUGGUGGAAAAGAGGUGGGUCCAGGUUUGCUCUGCGCCAGCCGCCUGAGAGACCUGAAACGUCUGCGCCUGUGGGACUGCACACUCAGCGAGCUACAGAUAGCCCGGAGCUGCAGGAUGCUCCGUGGACUUCGCCAGCUGGAGUUUGUGGACGUCAGGUUCCAGCCUCGUCAGAAUCCACCAGCAGAGGAGGGGGAGGGUGGUGAGGAAGAAGAGCAGGACAGAGAAGAAGCUGAAGGUGCAGAUGGCAGCAGCGAUGAGAACAAGACUGCAGAUAUGAACGAUCCUAUUCCAGGUCUGCGUCGCACACUGGCUGUCCUGCUGCCAUCCUGCACACUGGUGUUUACCAACUGCUCUGUUCAGAAUAAUGAAGAUUGAAUGAAGCUAUAUGCUGCUAUAUACAAGCAACCCACAUGGGAUUUUAAAAAUAAAAUAAAACAACAACAAAAAACAAAACGGUUACAUAGACUUUCAGAUCAUGUUGACAUAAGUAGAGCCGGAUUCAGAAUGCUUUGUCAACUUUUUCUGACAAUGCCACAAUAAGUCCAUAAAUAAAUAAAAAUAAUUUUAAAAGUCUACUCACAAUGAUCCAUGUUUAUAGUAUUUUUUUAGGCUUUUAGAAUGAAGUAACAAAAAACCGAAAAGCUGUACACAGUAAUGUAUUCAAAUGUAUUAGGGGAUUAUUGAGCGAUAAAAUAAAAAAAAAAUAGUAUGUAUGAAAAUAAAUGACUUCCUCAAUAUAAUUACCUUUGAGGGCUUUAGAGGAGGAUUGCAGGUUUCAGCAGUGCAAGAACAACAAUAAAUGUUUUGGCCCUUUAUUUAGGUUUUUAGAGUAUUAUGUUCAAAAUGUUACUCGUCUCGAUUAAAGCUGACUUAGAAGUAGGAGAUAUAUUGUGAUAUGGUGUUUUCUGAAAAAUCUAAUUGGUGACAGUUGCCUAAAACUUCCAAUCUGAAUUGUCUGUCGUUGACAAAUCAGAUUACUUCAUCACAUUGAUGCAAACAUCAUGAAAAACAUCUUUCUCAUCAGUUUGAAAGGUUGCCUCAUAAACUGAGGCUACUACAUUAUGAAAGUUAAGAAAAAACAUCUGUCAUCAUAGACACAAAUUAUAUUGUCUUAAGGGAUAUUUCAUGAUCUCCUACAAUACUCAGUGUCUUUGAGGUAAGUCAGUGGGAAGUCUCUCCUUUUUAGUGCUUAGAAACGAUAUGAAAUAAAAUGCAGAACAGUUGCUGUUAGACUGUAAACAGAUAAGCAGGUGUCAGCAACAAAGACAAACAAGUCAUGAUCCACCUGUUUCCUGUUCUUUACCACUUCUCAACAACAUAUACUGUCAGAGAACAUAUAUUUUACUCUGUUUGGCUGGGUGAUGCACAGGAUAUCGUUGGGCUUUGCAUAUGUGAUUUGUAGAAACUGAGAACAAAAAAGAACCGCUCAUCCUGAAUGUGUGUAUAUUGUCUCAAUUUUAGGAAAAAACAUGUAAGAUCUUUGUCAUCACACCGAAGUGUGUUGCAUUUAAAGCAACCAUUCAAUGAAGGUUCAUCUUGUAAAGAACAAAUUUUUCUGAAUAAAGCUAUUUUGAUAAAGUAAACCCAGAAUUUGUGCUUGAAUACAAAUACAGUAUGUCAACUGCACCUUUAAAGAUGACUGAUCAGUUCGUCAUGAAACUGCACGUCUCAUUUUUCAAGGUCAAAUGCUACAUUUUGUCUGGUCUUCUCUUACGUAGGUUAUUUCUUGUUAGCUUAAGCUUCAGAAAAUUGUCAUGGAUCAUUUCUCUUGUUUUGAGUGUUGGAGUGGCCAGUAACGGUUUUUGGAAAGCGGAAAAACAAGAAUUUAAAUGAGUAAGUAUUAAUCCUACACAAGUAGCUUAACGGUACACAAACCGUAUAAUCAAAAUUAAAAGCAUCUUAAUUAAAAGUAAUUAUGGGAUUAAAAGUUUGGAUUCAUGAAUUUAUAUAUGAUAUACAGUAUAUUUUGCAGCUGGAAAUCAUUUUAUUAUUUAUAUGCUACAUAACAAAUAAUUUAACACCUACAUACUGUUGAGUUCAAAUUUGUCCAGUGUGAACAUUUCAGAUUGAAAGUGACCCGAAAUACACAUAGAUUACAAUAGUUAAAAAUGUUAUACUGUUGUAAGGGUGCUAUGAAUUUUUGUACAUUACGGCUGUUACUGAUCAAAUUUGAGCCGCAGCUAUUUGGAUACAUUUUAGAUCCACCAUAGGUCAAAUCAAGGAAGACAGUGGUUUUAGAGACUCUUAAACUGUAAACAUGUACAUGCCAUGUCUGUGUGUAUCUCCUUCUAGGAUAGUGGUCACAAGAGCUUUCUGUAUUCUCACCACAUUUGCUCAGGUUCCUGCAGAGACAGGCAACUGCUGUAGCAUGUGGGAAUCUUCCAACAGUGAAUUAGUAAAACAGCAUAGAUGUGGUCAUAUAUGGUGCACCUGUUUUACCCAUUUCAGAACAGGUGAGUGGGAACCACAUUCAAGUCCUGCAUACAAAGUUUCCUACCACUGCCCUGAAUGUACUAACUAGUUGCAAUUAGCUUUUUAUGUGCUCCAAGUGUUGAUUAUUGUUGAAGUAAUGUUGCUAAUUAUAUAUAGUAGUUAUGAGGAAUUUUAUGCUAUAGCAGUGAGGACAAUAUUAAACAACUGAAAUUUCUUGCCAUUUUCACUUUCAGUAAAUUAAUAAAUAUAGCUAUAAAUCAAAAUAGCUUUUAUGGCUAUUGUGUUACUGUGUGAUGAUUUUCUGCAAAAUAAGUGUUGUAAAUUUGAAAAUACACUUCCCAUACUCUUUAUUAAGGACUAAUCAACGAUUUAUUAUCAUUGUCAGGUAAGCUAUUUAUACAUUUUAAUUAGAUCAUUGAUUUUAAAAAAAAUGGUCAAAAUGUAUGGAGUUAUUUACGAGGGAAUUUUUGGGCAAAUAUAGACUAGAACCAUACUGUGAAGGGAUUGAUUGAUAUACCUUUAUUAGUCCCACAAGGAGAAAUUAAAUAUUCAUAUUAAGUAUGUAAGAAUGAAGUAAUAAGUAUAAAGUAAAUGAAGUAUAAAGUAAAAUAUUUGCAUUUGUGAAGUAAGAUUUGAAAGUAGCAUAACAUAGAAAUGAAGUAAAAUACAUUCAAACCGUACCAGGUGUGUUAGGUACUGUUGGUUUUCUGUCACGUGCUUGAAUUUUGUAGAUUUUAGCCAAUGAAAAUUUGAGGCUUUAUGGACGCGGACAAAGGAUAUAAAUGCUUUAUACAGCCUACAUACAUCACAUACCAUGGACGUUACUCCUGCUUUUUAAAAAUAAUGUACAGCAUGUGGGCGGGACCACAGCCAGCGCUCACCAAUGACACGCUGCCCCUUGCAGCGCUUUUGUCCAAUGACUGUUCUGUAAGUGUGCGAAGCUCACCAAUCACGUUCGUGAAGAUUAGCUUUUUGAAAACGCUGGCGGCCGAGGAAGUUCUAGGUUACAAGAUUGGGGUUUUCACGCUGUAAAGUUAAUACUGUUUUUCCUUCACUACGAUGCAGAAAGAUUAAUUGGGGACCUGAAACUAGUUAAGAUGCUGUUGCAUUAAGUGAAGAGAGCUGUUAAAUAAAGAUCUCCAAGAAAUACUGAUGAACUGAAACAGUUUG